GAAAUGCGAUAAGUAAUGUGAAUUGCAGAAUUCAGUGAAUCAUCGAAUCUUUGAACGCACAUUGCGCCCAUUAGUAUUCUAGUGGGCAUGCCUGUUCGAGCGUCAUUUCAACCCUCAAGCACUGCUUGGUGUUGGGGCGUCUGCAGCUCCGGCUGCAGGCCCUGAAAAACAGUGGCGGGCUCGCUAUAACUCCGAGCGUAGUAAUCUCUCUCGCUUUGGAAGUGUGGCGGUUCCCGGCCGUUAAACCCCCCAAUUUCUGAAUGUUGACCUCGGAUCAGGUAGGAAUACCCGCUGAACUUAA
This 301-nucleotide unclassified non-coding RNA is filed under the name uncultured Phialemoniopsis. Its description in RNAcentral is "sequence contains ITS1". The stretch from base 1 to 105 matches the Rfam family "5.8S ribosomal RNA", at positions 50 to 154 of the family's 154-position model. Lineage: Eukaryota; Fungi; Ascomycota; Sordariomycetes; Xylariales. The record is from RNAcentral.